Triticum dicoccoides is the source of this 2604-nucleotide long non-coding RNA. RefSeq lists it as uncharacterized. The transcript has 6 exons. The record is from RefSeq and is a predicted model, not a curated record. Lineage: Eukaryota; Viridiplantae; Streptophyta; Magnoliopsida; Poales; Poaceae.
AUGUCUCCUUUUAUUCGCUCUAUGUAUCGCCGAGCGUUGUGGCCAACAUCCUCUCCUCUCCUUUCCCCUCGCUCACUUCCUCCUCCCUCACCCGUAGAACCCUAGCCGCCUUCUCCCGCAGCACCUCAGCCGCCUCUUCUCCCUCUCCACCCAGCCGCCCCUCUCCUCGACUCGGCUCGAGUGCGCACUCGAGCCAAUCCUCCGUGUCGCCUCCUCCUCCCCUCCACUUCUCUCCUCCUCUCGAAGCCCCAGCGUGUGGUCGCCGCUGCCGUUCAUCUCUUUCUUCCCACGAUGCCUCCCCAUCCUCCAUCAGCCGUCGCUGUGCGCCGUUGUUCUGGACCGGUCGGAGGUCGCUGCAAAGGAGCGGAGCAGGACAACGCGAAGCAGCAGGGGAAGAGGGGAGCAGCAGCCGUGCCAGCCAGCGCGCAUCUCGUCGCAACGCGUGCAGCUGCAGCAAGCUGAAGACGCGGCCCUCCAUCAGCGGACGAGCGGCAGUCAGCACGAGGUCGGGGUGGAGGGCCAUGAGCACCAGGAGGUGCGUCGAGGGGCACCAGGAGGCACCAUGGUCACUGUGGGAGCACGCCAAACCUGAAGGCCAUCACCAGCCGCUGUCCACGCCCCAGAGCUUAGAAAAAAGGAGUUAAAGUUUCAGCCAUGAUUGAGACGACGUUCUUCUCCCUCAGCGCGCGCCAUGGCGGUCCCUCCUCGUCGCCACCCCUCUCCUUGACUCGGCGGGACGAGGGGAGCAGGGGCAGCAGCCAGUCGCUGCCCAGUAGCAGAGGAGGACGGCAGUGGGGGGAAGGAGCAGAGGAAGACGUCACUGGGGAAGGAGCAGAGAGGCUGGUGUUCCAAACGGCGCUUGCAUCAUGUGCCGGACGCUACUCUCCGGCCCUCGUCAUCGUCCCCAAUCUAGGCAUGAUGUAUGAAAAUCUGAAAAGCAAAGGAAGAAUCCCGACGAAGAGUUUGGUGAUGGGGAAUAGGAUGAGUUCUUUCUCUCUCUCAUCCACGUUUGUUCCUACAUUUUUAUUUUGAUGUUAUGGUUUAUUCUAUCCCUUCUUAGAUUAAACUUCUUUGAACCAUCUAAAUCUCUUUGUUCAAUGACUCUGAGUUUACCACUCCUUGUAUCUUAACCUUCUUGCUUCAGCAGGGUUAGUUGUUGGGUCAUAUGUGUUGUUGACUAUGAAGGUUAGGUUCCUUCCCACUCCCUUUUGGGUUUCUUCCUGUUGGAAUUGAUGUGGCCUGAUUCUUUCUUUGUCACUAUCUAGAUAUGUGUUCUUAUGAAAGUUAUCUAUUGCCUUAUUGGAAUUUCUCUGUUAUGUCAUGCACAUUGCUACCUUCAGGUUGUUUAAUUAUUUAAUAUGGAACACAUUGGCAUUAUAUGAAAAGAGGCACAUAUAUGAUUCUUUGCAUUUUUGCAAUGUCGUGACUGCAGAGGUACCCUUCUCUCUGUAACAAAUCUGAAUCUUUGCAUAUUGGGUUUGCAUAUGCUUGCGAGUACCUACUCUAUUUGCGCUCAAAUACCAUAUGUUAUGCACUGGUAGAGGUAAAAGAGAAAUUCAGAGAAAGAUAAAAAGAAAAGGACAGAGGAUGCAAAGGAAAAUGAUACUUGGAUAGUUACAUCUACAGUUUAGAUAUUGCUAAAAUUGGUUGCUCCUCUCCUAUUUAGUGAAAUAUGUAUGUGCUUUUUUAUGUUCUGUGGUUAGGACCGACAACUUGAUUAGGUGCAGCCUACUUCAACUAACACAUCUUUAAACUAAACUGAACAAAUCCAUUUAGUUUGUCUACUUCUGAAUUUAUGUUUCUAUGGUGUCAUUGUUUCAGUUUGUGUUGCACAUUUAUGUGUCAAACGACAACUAUCAAACAAGAAAAAUGCUUGCCAGCUAUAACCUACCCCUGACCUCUGUGUUUAUCUUUUCAUGGUCAUGGAAAAUGAAAUGCUCAUGAACCACCACUUUCUUUCAUGCCGACAAGGGCUGUCGAUCCACCCAGCGCGUGGGUAGCUGCACGGAUCUCCAAUAUAGCCCCCUCCCUAUGGCACCGUUCCACCGUGCUGACUAGCAUUGAAUAUGCCAUGGAUCUACCAAGCAGCCGCCUUAGCAUGGUCAUCCAUAACGCUAUCCUGCUUCCAUGCAAGCUCAGGAUGUUGAGUAGGCCUGCCUUAUUAUGAAACCUGGCGAUUUAGUGGUACCAUGGUGGCUGACCAAGAGGAGGAGGAAACCUUCCCAUGAAUUUCCAUGGAGGCUUGGCAGAAGCAGAUUAGUUGUUUUCUCUAUUAUAUCAGGUGGCACUUGGCUUCUCAUAAAUGACUCAUCAUUUUCCUGAACAAUGGUUAUUGUACACUUAUGCUAGAGAUAUGGAGAUCAGGACUGGAUUUGUUUAUUGUUUAUGCUUCGGGAGGAAUUACAGUUGUGGACCUGUAGAUGAAUUGCCAUGGAGGCUUGGCAGAAACAACGGUUCCCUCGGCAGUGGCUGCGAGGGGUGUAGCUUGCUGAAGAAAUGGGCUUUUUUGUAGCUCCAGGUAUAGAAGAGUAUAAAACCAAAUUAUAUGAUGUAAUUGACUACUAUUUCUAUUAACUUCUCCUGUAAACAAUGUUCACGAGUUCA